RNAcentral lists this ribosomal RNA (380 nucleotides) under Eobania vermiculata. RNAcentral's name for it is "Massylaea vermiculata partial 16S ribosomal RNA". It matches the Rfam family "Archaeal large subunit ribosomal RNA", at positions 1947 to 2665 of the family's 2987-position model. The record is from RNAcentral. Lineage: Eukaryota; Metazoa; Mollusca; Gastropoda; Stylommatophora; Helicidae.
GUUUCUGCUCAAUGGAACUCUAAAUAGCCGCAGUACUCUGACUGUGCAAAGGUAGCAUAAUCAAUUGGCCUCUAAUUAAGGUCUGGAAUGAACGAACUUAUGGGUAGCAACUGUCUUAAAAUAGUUAAUUAAAUUGAUUAAUAAGUGCAAAUACUUAUUCAGUUACAUUAGACGAGAAGACCCUAGAAACUUAUAAUUAUUUUGUUGGGGCGACAGAAUUACAUAAAAACUAAUUUUAUUUUACAAGACGUAAAGCAGAAAGAAAAAGUUACUCUAGGGAUAACAGCAUAAUUUUUAAUAGCUUGUGACCUCGAUGUUGGACUAGGUAGAUAGUUUUUUAGAAGAAAGCUUUCUUGGCUCUGUUCGAGCAAUUUUAACCU